GACGAACGCUGGCGGCGUGCUUAACACAUGCAAGUCGAACGGAAAGGCCCUGCUUGCAGGGUACUCGAGUGGCGAACGGGUGAGUAACACGUGGGUGAUCUGCCCUGCACUUCGGGAUAAGCCUGGGAAACUGGGUCUAAUACCGGAUAGGAGCCCUUUUUAGUGUGAUGGUUGGAAAGUUUUUUCGGUGUAGGAUGAGCUCGCGGCCUAUCAGCUUGUUGGUGGGGUAAUGGCCUACCAAGGCGGCGACGGGUAGCCGGCCUGAGAGGGUGGACGGCCACAUUGGGACUGAGAUACGGCCCAGACUCCUACGGGAGGCAGCAGGGGGGAAUAUUGCACAAUGGGCGCAAGCCUGAUGCAGCGACGCCGCGUGGGGGAUGACGGCCUUCGGGUUGGAAACUCCUUUCGCUAGGGACGAAGCUUUUUGUGACGGUACCUAGAUAAGAAGCACCGGCUAACUACGUG
RNAcentral lists this ribosomal RNA (465 nucleotides) under uncultured bacterium. RNAcentral describes it as "partial 16S ribosomal RNA". It matches the Rfam family "Bacterial small subunit ribosomal RNA", at positions 28 to 507 of the family's 1533-position model. The record is from RNAcentral.